Molecule: long non-coding RNA, 718 nt
Organism: Rhinopithecus roxellana (golden snub-nosed monkey)
Lineage: Eukaryota; Metazoa; Chordata; Mammalia; Primates; Cercopithecidae
Exons: 3
Source: RefSeq, a predicted model, not a curated record
GUUUGUCUUUGUCUCUUGUGUCUGUUCAUUCUUCACCACCCCCAGCGCGGUCCUCAAUAAGUGGGGCAGCGAGCAGGGUCCGCACGGCCCUGUUGGCAUCCGCUACAUCUGCUCCCCUCCCUUGCUAGCCAGCUGAGUCCAGCGCAGGAACAGCACCCCUCUCCAACUCUCAAGCCAUCCAGCUUAAGUGGAAUUGAGUCAAGCUCCAGCUCCAGAGGUAGCUGUCAUUCAGAAUGGCCCAGUCUCCAGAAAUCACCUCUCUAUCCAUACUACGAAUACCAUGGUGGAUUGUAUACUAGUUCAAUACUUCUCUUAUGUGUGGAGACGCAACAUAGCACAGGGGUAAACAGCACAAACUACAGAGCCUGGCUCUUGAUCUUAACCUCAGUUCUGCUUCUUAUUAACUGUGUGACCUUGGGCAAGACACUUGAGCUAUCUCUCAGUUUCCUCAUCUGUAAAAUGGGAAUAACAGAACUCAGUAGGGUUGAAGUUUAAAUGAAUGAAUACAUGAAAAGCAAUCAGAACAUUCCCUGGCACAGGGUAAGUGCUAUAUAAAUGUUAGUUGUUAUUAUCGUUGUUGUUAUGAGGAUUAAAUGAAUAAAUGGAAAGUGUUUAGAACAGUGUCUGACGCAUAGUAACCCUGUAUACAUAUUAUCCAUUAUUAAAACUACCAAUUAUUGCAUUCACUCAACAAGAAUUUAUUGAUUACCUCUUCUGU